RNAcentral lists this ribosomal RNA (1227 nucleotides) under metagenome. RNAcentral's name for it is "SSU rRNA". It matches the Rfam family "Eukaryotic small subunit ribosomal RNA", at positions 558 to 1823 of the family's 1831-position model. The record is from RNAcentral.
AGUCUGGUGCCAGCAGCCGCGGUAAUUCCAGCUCCAAUAGCGUAUAUUAAAGUUGUUGCGUCUAAAAAGCUCGUAGUUUGAAAACUUGCCUUGGCUUACAACAGACGUCUAAGGGCGUCACCGUUUGUCGAGAGCAAAUAUGGGUGACUGUUCUUGCCUUCUUCUCUGAUUGGCUCGUAAAAGUCAUCGAAGAUCACUUUGAUUAAAUUAGGGUGCUCAAAGCAAGUGUGCUACUUGAAUAUGAAUGCAUGGAAUGAUGGAAUAUGUUGUUGUUCUAUUUGUUGGUUUUUUGAAUGACGAAAUGAUUGAAAGGAACUGUUGGGGGCAUUCGUAUUGUUGUGAGAGAGGUGAAAUUCUUAGACCAUAGCAAGACGAACUACUGCGAAAGCAUUUGCCAAGAAUGUUUUCAUUGAUCAAGAACGAAAGUUAGAGGUUCGAAGGCGAUCAGAUACCGCCCUAGUUCUAACCAUAAACUAUGCCGACUAGCAAUUUGCUUUGUAUUUUUAUGACUAAGUGAGAGGCCACGGGAAACCAAAGUAGGGUUAUGGGGGAAGUAUGGUUGCAAAGCUGAAACUUAAAGGAAUUGACGGAAGGGCACCACCAGGAGUGGAGCCUGCGGCUUAAUUUGACCCAACACGGGAAAACUUACCUGGUCCUGACACUAGAAGGAUUGACAGAUUGAUAGCUCUUUCUUGAUUUGGUGGAUGGUGGUGCAUGGCCGUUCUUAGUUGGUGGAGUGAUUUGUCUGGUUAAUUCCGAUAACGAACGAGACUCUAGCCUAUUAAAUAAUAUGCGGAAUCAAUUUCUCCCGCGUUAUUUCUUAAUGGGAUCAAGCGUGUUUAACGCUUUGAAACAGAGCAAUAACAGGUCUGUGAUGCCCUUAGAUGUUCGGGGCUGCACGCGCGCUACAUUGAAGAACAAAGUGAGCCCUCUGGCUUUUAACAAAGCUAGAAAUCUUUUAAUGUUCUUCUUAAUGGGGAUAGGGGAUUGCAAUUGUGCCCCUUGAACGAGGAAUUCCCAGUAAGUGCUAGUCAUUAGCUAGUACUGAUUACGUCCCUGCCCUUUGUACACACCGCCCGUCGCUACUACCGAUUGAAUAGUUUAGUGAGAUCAUCUGAGUGUUUGUAUGUGCAUUCUGUGCUUGUAUGGUGUACGAAGAAGAUCAAACUUGAUUAUUUAGAGGAAGUAAAAGUCGUAACAAGGUUUCCGUAGGUGAACCUGCGGAAG